Molecule: ribosomal RNA, 253 nt
Filed under: uncultured bacterium
Lineage: Bacteria
Description: partial 16S ribosomal RNA
Rfam family: Bacterial small subunit ribosomal RNA
Source: RNAcentral
UACAGAGGUCUCAAGCGUUGUCCGGAUUUAUUGGGCGUAAAGCGCGCGCAGGCGGUCCUUUAAGUCUGAUGUGAAAUCUUGCGGCUCAACCGCAAGCGGUCAUUGGAAACUGGGGGACUUGAGUACAGAAGAGGAAAGCGGAAUUCCACGUGUAGCGGUGAAAUGCGUAGAGAUGUGGAGGAACACCAGUGGCGAAGGCGGCUUCCUGGUCCAGCACCGACGUUCAGGCACGAAAGCGUGGGGAGCAAACAGG